This is a long non-coding RNA of Corticium candelabrum, 1346 nucleotides long. RefSeq lists it as uncharacterized. NCBI's taxonomy places the organism in Eukaryota, Metazoa, Porifera, Homoscleromorpha, Homosclerophorida, Plakinidae. The transcript is spliced from 5 exons. The record is from RefSeq and is a predicted model, not a curated record.
CGUAAACUGGGAGGAGCUCACCGCCAGACUAGCACCGGUCAUGUUUAGUAUCAUAAAGACGGAACAGAUUAAAGCUCAUUAUGGUAAACCUUUCAUUCAAGUCUCGUUCAAUGUUGGAGGAAGGGGCAAACGGAUUGGACAAGGAAGCUACCAACGGGUCACUGAUUGAAGCUCUAUUGAAGGUGAACAUGAGACGACAAGCCAAUGAAAUAUUUGGAGAAGAUCUUGUGACGUAUGUGGAAACAAAUGGCUCAUGAGAGAGUCAGAUGUGUUUGGCGCGAGAGAGGUACCCAAAGACCUCAUUCAUUGCACAAAGACAUGGUGGGUGUCAAUGGACGACUGGACAAGAUCAUCAGUCUUUUGAUUCUGCAGAAAAAGACAAACCCAAGCAAGAGAAACAAUAAAUAGAUGCCUGUGACACCCCAGAAAGAGACGUUUAUAUUGGUGAUCCAAGCCUUAUCAUGAGGGCCAGCAAGUUGGCUGUUACCAGAGCCACCAUUAAGGCUGGUAGAAGGUCUCUGUUGGCCCUCAAUCUUGUGGCUAUCUUGUUCGAUCAGGAUUGCUUAAGACGUUCGACUGUGUGUGGGUCUAGAGACUCCUCAAAGAGGCACUAGACCCUAGGAAGAUCGAAGCCAUAAGAAGCCAUUGUUUUCACAAGUUCCUAAUAAAGGUGGGAGAGACAGAAUAGGCGGCAUCUCAGGAGAUGACAAAAGCCAUCUGUUGUAUGGAAUAAUGGCACUGCGGGCAUAACGAAGCGAAUUCAGAGAAUUGAAAAAAGGUUUUUGAGAGUACUUUCUGGUCUGAAACCAAGGGAAUCUACUGGAAUAUGUCUUCUGUCUUUUCUAAAUUUGGUCUCCAAUCACAUCAGGCCAGACACUCUUUCUACCUAGGUACACUCGCUCACCGGUGUCUACAUUCUCUAGCUCCUAACAGAGUCAACUUCCGGUAUCACUCCCUUGAAAAUCAUCAUUAUCACACUGGUCUUACUCUAUCAGGACUACGUACUCCUAAUCCAAACACUGAAGCACUUCGGCAGUCUUCAUUUUAUCGUGCUCAAAAGUUCUGGAAUUCUCUUCCAUGUAGGCUAAGAAUAGUCUCUAAAGUCUCUAAUUUUAAGCAGCCCUACGGAAGUUCUCUUACAGUGUAGAUGAUAUUUAGAUUCAUGUGUUCUAAAAUAUUAGAUAAUGUUUCACUUAGACUGUAUAGUAUGUAUGUUAGCGUAAAUAUUCAUGUAUGUGUGCUUGGUACUGUACCCGGAAGAUCGACCGCUGAGUUGAGGGCUUUCCGUAGUAAAAGAAAUACAAAUACAAUACAAAUGCAAUCACAGACAAGUGUUUGCUAGUUGC